This 467-nucleotide ribosomal RNA is filed under the name uncultured bacterium. RNAcentral describes it as "partial 16S ribosomal RNA". It matches the Rfam family "Bacterial small subunit ribosomal RNA", at positions 28 to 506 of the family's 1533-position model. The record is from RNAcentral.
GAUGAACGCUGGCGGCGUGCUUAACACAUGCAAGUCGAACGGAAAGGCCGAAGCUUGCUUCGGUACUCGAGUGGCGAACGGGUGAGUAACACGUGGGUGAUCUGCCCUGUACUUCGGGAUAAGCUUGGGAAACUGGGUCUAAUACCGGAUAUGACGAUCUCUUGGAUGGGGUUGUGGAAAGCUUUUGCGGUAUGGGAUGAGCUCGCGGCCUAUCAGCUUGUUGGUGGGGUAAUGGCCUACCAAGGCGUCGACGGGUAGCCGGCCUGAGAGGGUGUACGGCCACAUUGGGACUGAGAUACGGCCCAGACGCCUACGGGAGGCAGCAGUGGGGAAGAUUGCACAAGGGGCGCAAGCCUGAUGCAGCAACGCCGCGUGGGGGAUGACGGCCUUGGGGUUGUAAACUCCUUGCGCAAUCGACGAAGCCUUUUGGUGACGGAAGGUUGAGAAGAAGCACCGGCAAACUACGU